UGUUCUUGUGUUUAAAAUCUUAACGUCAUGCAAUAAGGUUUGUUUUUCAUUGGUGUAUAUUUGGUUUUAGUCAGCGUUAGGUUGCGCUUUUCUGCGCAAACGAAUUUUGCCGAUGCGACUUAUAAAAUUGCUCGUACUGUAUACGAUGUGAU
Long non-coding RNA from Maniola jurtina (meadow brown), 152 nucleotides. RefSeq lists it as uncharacterized. The transcript has 3 exons. The record is from RefSeq and is a predicted model, not a curated record. Lineage: Eukaryota; Metazoa; Arthropoda; Insecta; Lepidoptera; Nymphalidae.